AAAGAAGACAGGCUUGAAGGAUGGCAAGACAGCUUAUAGGAGGAAGGGAAUAGGAAAAGUAUGGCUAGCAAAGGUGGUAUUGUCAUGCAGAUGAAACUUCACAGCAGAAUUAACACCACAUAUACAUGAAUGCUGCCAAGAAUUAGACCUUGCAUCCUUUGGCGAAAUGACCCAAGUUGUUCCUGGAGUCAUAUCCAGGAGAUAAUCAACUAAGAGCCAGGCACCCCUUCAAGUCCGAAAAGAAACAUUUUACAACCUGCUCUCUCUGAAGUCUGCUAUCUGACAGCUUCCUCUGCACAAUAAAACUUGGUCUCCACAAUUCUUUAUCCUAACCUGAACAUUUCCUUUCAUCCCAGGUCUUCAGAAAAACUCAACCAAUUGUCAACCAGAAAAUGUUUUAAUUUACCUGUACCCUGGAAGCCCCCGCUUUGAGUUGUCCCACCUUUCUGAACCAAACCAAUGAUGUACUACUUAAAUGUAUUUGAUUGAUGUCUCAUGCCUCCCUACAAUAUAUAAAACCAAGCUGUAACCCAACCACCAUGGACAUAUGUUCUCAGGGCCUCCUGAGGGCUGUGUCAUGGGCCAUGGUCACUCAUAUUUGGCU
RNAcentral lists this long non-coding RNA (604 nucleotides) under Homo sapiens (human). RNAcentral describes it as "HSALNT0283072". Lineage: Eukaryota; Metazoa; Chordata; Mammalia; Primates; Hominidae. The record is from RNAcentral.